GACGAACGCUGGCGGCGUGCUUAACACAUGCAAGUCGAACGGAAAGGCUCUGCUUUUGUGGGGUGCUCGAGUGGCGAACGGGUGAGUAACACGUGAGUAACCUGCCCUUGACUUUGGGAUAACUUCAGGAAACUGGGGCUAAUACCGGAUAGGAGCUCCUGCUGCAUGGUGGGGGUUGGAAAGUUUCGGCGGUUGGGGAUGGACUCGCGGCUUAUCAGCUUGUUGGUGGGGUAGUGGCUUACCAAGGCUUUGACGGGUAGCCGGCCUGAGAGGGUGACCGGCCACAUUGGGACUGAGAUACGGCCCAGACUCCUACGGGAGGCAGCAGUGGGGAAUAUUGCACAAUGGGCGGAAGCCUGAUGCAGCAACGCCGCGUGCGGGAUGACGGCCUUCGGGUUGUAAACCGCUUUCGCCUGUGACGAAGCGUGAGUGACGGUAAUGGGUAAAGAAGCACCGACUAACUACGUG
RNAcentral lists this ribosomal RNA (468 nucleotides) under uncultured bacterium. RNAcentral's name for it is "partial 16S ribosomal RNA". It matches the Rfam family "Bacterial small subunit ribosomal RNA", at positions 28 to 507 of the family's 1533-position model. The record is from RNAcentral.